AGUGAACGCUGGCGGUAGGCCUAACACAUGCAAGUCGAACGGCAGCACAGUAAGAGCUUGCUCUUACGGGUGGCGAGUGGCGGACGGGUGAGGAAUACAUCGGAAUCUACUUUUUCGUGGGGGAUAAUGUAGGGAAACUUACGCUAAUACCGCAUACGACCUACGGGUGAAAGCAGGGGAUCUUCGGACCUUGCGCGAUUGAAUGAGCCGAUGUCGGAUUAGCUAGUUGGCGGGGUAAAGGCCCACCAAGGCGACGAUCCGUAGCUGGUCUGAGAGGAUGAUCAGCCACACUGGAACUGAGACACGGUCCAGACUCCUACGGGAGGCAGCAGUGAGGAAUAUUGGACAAUGGGCGCAAGCCUGAUCCAGCCAUACCGCGUGGGUGAAGAAGGCCUUCGGGUUGUAAAGCCCUUUUGUUGGGAAAGAAAAGCAGCAGGUUAAUACCCCGCUGUUCUGACGGUACCCAAAGAAUAAGCACCGGCUAACUUCGUG
Molecule: ribosomal RNA, 492 nt
Filed under: uncultured bacterium
Lineage: Bacteria
Description: partial 16S ribosomal RNA
Rfam family: Bacterial small subunit ribosomal RNA
Source: RNAcentral